Molecule: ribosomal RNA, 450 nt
Filed under: uncultured bacterium
Lineage: Bacteria
Description: partial 16S ribosomal RNA
Rfam family: Bacterial small subunit ribosomal RNA
Source: RNAcentral
CCUACGGGGGGCUGCAGUGGGGAAUAUUGGACAAUGGGGGAAACCCUGAUCCAGCAAUGCCGCGUGUGUGAAGAAGGCCUGCGGGUUGUAAAGCACUUUCGGUUGGGAAGAAAAGUUUGGCGCCAAUACCGCCGAACCUUGACGUUACUGACAGAAGAAGCACCGGCUAACUCUGUGCCAGCAGCCGCGGUAAUACAGAGGGUGCAAGCGUGACUCGGAAUCACUGGGCGUAGACCUUGCGUAGGUGGGUGAAAUCCCCGGGCGUAACCUGGGAACUGCAUUCGAUACGACAUGGCUAGAGUAGGGUAGAGGGAAGUGGAAUUUCCGGUGUAGCGGUGAAAUGCGUAGAUAUCGGAAGGAACACCAAUGGCGAAGGCAGCUUCCUGGACUAAUACUGACACUGAGGCACGAAAGCGUGGGUAGCAAACAGGAUUAGAUACCCGUGUAGUC